Molecule: ribosomal RNA, 460 nt
Filed under: uncultured bacterium
Lineage: Bacteria
Description: partial 16S ribosomal RNA
Rfam family: Bacterial small subunit ribosomal RNA
Source: RNAcentral
CCUACGGGUGGCAGCAGUGAGGAAUAUUGGUCAAUGGACGAGAGUCUGAACCAGCCAAGUAGCGUGAAGGAUGACUGCCCUAUGGGUUGUAAACUUCUUUUAUAUGGGAAUAAAAUGUUCCACGUGUGGGAUUUUGUCUGUACCAUAUGAAUAAGGAUCGGCUAACUCCGUGCCAGCAGCCGCGGUAAUACGGAGGGUCCGAGCGUUAUCCGGAUUUAUUGGGUUUAAAGGGAGCGUAGGUGGAUUGUUAAGUCAGUUGUGAAAGUUUGCGGCUCAACCGUAGAAUUGCAGUUGAAACUGGCAGUCUUGAGUGCAGGAGAGGUAGGCGGAAUUCGUGGUGUAGCGGUGAAAUGCUUAGAUAUCACGAAGAACUCCGAUUGCGAAGGCAGUUCACUGGACUGCAACUGACGCUGAGGCUCGAAAGUGUGGGUAUCAAACAGGAUUAGAUACCCCGGUAGUC